Coturnix japonica (Japanese quail) is the source of this 584-nucleotide non-coding RNA. The record is from RefSeq and is a predicted model, not a curated record. NCBI's taxonomy places the organism in Eukaryota, Metazoa, Chordata, Aves, Galliformes, Phasianidae.
CAUAUUAUACAUAUUACAUAUGUAUCACUUCCAUCUGCAUGAAGCUUAAGCAAUAUCGUAACGUUCUAAGUUCUCUAAAUCUGUGCUUAUGAAACAAUUAAGGUGGAAAAAAGCUACAGCCUGAUGUCAGUGUGAUGGACGAUGCUGCUCGUGCGGAACAAGUGAAUAUCCCAGCGGUACGGAGACGGCAUCUUUGUUCCACAGCCGCCACGCAGGGCGUGCGUGUAUUUCCCCCCAGAAACUGGCAAUGGCAGUAAGACAGGACUCGUGCUGAUUCGGUAUUACACAAACUUCAUCCCGAUACAGCUGGGAAACGGUUUGCAAACACCUGAUGCUCUGUGCGACUGGGAUUUCAGAUAUUGUGAAUGCUUUGCCAGCGGUGACUUUUGCAACAACUGCAAUUGCAAUAAUUGUUACAACAAUCCACUUCACGAAACUGAGCGAUUUAAAGCCAUUAAGGUAAAAUAUAUAUGUGUAUAUAUAUAAUACUAUAUAUAUCAGUAUGAGCUUUGUAUAUGUAAAAUACACUUGUAUUGUUUUUCUCUACUUAAAGUCUUUGAAAUAUACUAUUUUUAUACAAAAUA